Molecule: ribosomal RNA, 1344 nt
Filed under: Staphylococcus aureus
Lineage: Bacteria; Bacillati; Bacillota; Bacilli; Caryophanales; Staphylococcaceae
Description: bacterial SSU rRNA
Rfam family: Bacterial small subunit ribosomal RNA
Source: RNAcentral
GGCCAAGGGCAAGCUCAGGUCCUAACACAUGCAAGUCCAGGCCUAACACAUGCAAGUCCAUGCCUACCUAUGCAAGUGGGAUAACUUCAGGAAACCGGAGCUAAUACCGGAUAAUAUUUUGAACCGCAUGGUUCAAAAGUGAAAGACGGUCUUGCUGUCACUUAUAGAUGGAUCCGCGCUGCAUUAGCUAGUUGGUAAGGUAACGGCUUACCAAGGCAACGAUGCAUAGCCGACCUGAGAGGGUGAUCGGCCACACUGGAACUGAGACACGGUCCAGACUCCUACGGGAGGCAGCAGUAGGGAAUCUUCCGCAAUGGGCGAAAGCCUGACGGAGCAACGCCGCGUGAGUGAUGAAGGUCUUCGGAUCGUAAAACUCUGUUAUUAGGGAAGAACAUAUGUGUAAGUAACUGUGCACAUCUUGACGGUACNUAAUUCUAGGAUAAGCCACGGGCUAAANUANGUGCCCAGGCAGCCCGCGGUUAAUACCGUAGGGUGGCAAGCGUUAUCCGGAAUUUAUUUGGGCGUAAAGCGCGCGUAGGCGGUUUUUUAAGUNUGAUGUGAAAGCCCACGGCUCAACCGUGGAGGGUCAUUGGAAACUGGAAAACUUGAGUGCAGAAGAGGAAAGUGGAAUUCCAUGUGUAGCGGUGAAAUGCGCAGAGAUAUGGAGGAACACCAGUGGCGAAGGCGACUUUCUGGUCUGUAACUGACGCUGAUGUGCGAAAGCGUGGGGAUCAAACAGGAUUAGAUACCCUGGUAGUCCACGCCGUAAACGAUGAGUGCUAAGUGUUAGGGGGUUUCCGCCCCUUAGUGCUGCAGCUAACGCAUUAAGCACUCCCGCCUGGGGAGUACGACCGCAAGGUUGAAACUCAAAGGAAUUGACGGGGACCCUGCACAAGGCGGUGGAGCAUGUUGNUUNAAUUCGGAAGCAANNCGAAUGAAUACCUUUUCACCANAUCUUGACAUCCUUUGACAACUCUAGAGAUAGAGCCUUCCCCUUCGGGGGACAAAGUGACAGGUGGUGCAUGGUUGUCGUCAGCUCGUGUCGUGAGAUGUUGGGUUAAGUCCCGCAACGAGCGCAACCCUUAAGCUUAGUUGCCAUCAUUAAGUUGGGCACUCUAAGUUGACUGCCGGUGACAAACCGGAGGAAGGUGGGGAUGACGUCAAAUCAUCAUGCCCCUUCUGAUUUGGGCUACACACGUGCUACAAUGGACAAUACAAAGGGCAGGGAAACCGCGAGGUCAAGCAAAUCCCAUAAAGUUGUUCCAGUUCGGACACUAGUAAGCACAUGGAUUACACGAAGAAGGACAGGCUUAACAUCAUACAUUAGGCCGGUACAUUGGUCCG